UNCAGGCUCUGCUAUUCAUUUGAAGGAAACU
RNAcentral lists this non-coding RNA (31 nucleotides) under Mus musculus (house mouse). The record is from RNAcentral. Lineage: Eukaryota; Metazoa; Chordata; Mammalia; Rodentia; Muridae.